GACGAACGCUGGCGGCGUGCUUAACACAUGCAAGUCGAACGGAAAGGCCCUGCUUUUGUGGGGUGCUCGAGUGGCGAACGGGUGAGUAACACGUGAGUAACCUGCCCUUGACUUUGGGAUAACUUCAGGAAACUGGGGCUAAUACCGGAUAGGAGCUCCUGCUGCAUGGUGGGGGUCGGAAAGUUUCGGCGGUUGGGGAUGGACUCGCGGCUUAUCAGCUUGUUGGUGGGGUAGUGGCUUACCAAGGCUUUGACGGGUAGCCGGCCUGAGAGGGUGACCGGCCGCAUUGGGACUGAGAUACGGCCCAGACUCCUACGGGAGGCAGCAGUGGGGAAUAUUGCACAAUGGGCGGAAGCCUGAUGCAGCAACGCCGCGUGCGGGAUGACGGCCUUCGGGUUGUAAACCGCUUUCGCCUGUGACGAAGCGUGAGUGACGGUAAUGGGUAAAGAAGCACCGGCUAACUACGUG
This 468-nucleotide ribosomal RNA is filed under the name uncultured bacterium. Its description in RNAcentral is "partial 16S ribosomal RNA". It matches the Rfam family "Bacterial small subunit ribosomal RNA", at positions 28 to 507 of the family's 1533-position model. The record is from RNAcentral.